UGUGAGAAUUCUUUGGUUAUUUUCAAUGUUGCUUUUUUUGAUUUCGCUUUUCUAAGGGGACAUUACUAUGGACGUACUAAUUUUCAUGCAGACUUAGAAUUUUGGCUAAUUCAUGUUUGUGCAUUUGUAACAGGAUCUAAGCAUCUGCAGUCAGGUGGUAGUUUCAGGUGACCCUCAUACAGGGUAACUGUGGCCCUCCUGGCACCGUGGCUGGUAACAAUCUAGAGGAUCCCAUUAUGUAGCUCUGGCUGGCCUGGAACUCACUAUGCUUCAAAGCUCUGUCUCUGACACCUGAGUGCCGGCUUCACAGUGAAAAUCAAGACCAGCAAGCUGUGUGAAGAGGUGUCUCUUGCUGCCACUGAAGACUGAUAAACUUCCCUUACACCCUACCAUCAAAUCCCGUAUGCUUCCCUGACAGACCUCUUACUGAACUCAUGUUUUUAGUCUUUUCUUUCUUUCAGAUUCUACAGAUGAGAGACUUGUCUUUCUGAGCAUGACCUCAUUGAUCUCCUUGUUGUAGUUAUUUAUUCUCAUUAGAUUAUGUAUGUACUGUAUUUUAUAAAGACCAAGUUAAUGGUAGGGUCCUGAUUUUCUCAUCUUGGUUCUUCAGCUUUCGAAGAAAUGUCCAUUAGCCAAAUGAUUCUGCUUCUUCCAUUGCAUACUUCAUGCCAGAAGAGGAACAUACACUUAUUUCAACAACCAAGGAGCCUGCAACACUAGGUACUUGCAUUAGGCAGGUCCUCUGGAGAAACAGAACUGAUAGAAUAUAUAUUGUAAAGGGGAUCAUGAUCUAACUUCAACUCUCAGCUUGGCAUGGCCUAGAAUCACCUGUGAAGGAAGUCUGAAUAAGGGAUUUAUUACAUUGGCUGACUCAGUAUCCGUUGGGUCAUCCAACAUGAAUGAGAGUAUGAAUGUUGGAGAGGUAGAAAGCUAGGCAAUGCCCAAUCUAGGAAACUCAGCUGCCUUCAGUAUAGUGCUGAAGGCCUGGUACCACCUAGAGAGUCAGUGGCACAGUAUCAGGUUGUCAGAUGGAAGAAUCUGGAGUUCAUCACCACCAGCACACCCACACAACCACCACCACCUCCACCACCACCUCCACCACCACCACCACCAGAAAAGCAAUAGACGCACUUGUUCAUAAAGAAGAACCUUUCAGGUGUAGCUAACUCCUUCUUUAUUUUUGCUUUUCCAUGCAGCCACUUGGUGGAAUUUAUGUACAUGUUGAAGAUGUAUUCCUUUGGCCCUGUUACUAUUGUCCCACGGUGUG
Mus musculus (house mouse) is the source of this 1267-nucleotide long non-coding RNA. RefSeq annotates it as predicted gene, 38906. Lineage: Eukaryota; Metazoa; Chordata; Mammalia; Rodentia; Muridae. The record is from RefSeq and is a predicted model, not a curated record. The transcript has 4 exons.